RNAcentral lists this ribosomal RNA (2552 nucleotides) under Escherichia coli. RNAcentral's name for it is "partial 23S ribosomal RNA". It matches the Rfam family "Bacterial large subunit ribosomal RNA", at positions 381 to 2915 of the family's 2925-position model. Lineage: Bacteria; Pseudomonadati; Pseudomonadota; Gammaproteobacteria; Enterobacterales; Enterobacteriaceae. The record is from RNAcentral.
AAAAAUGCACAUAUUGUGAGCUCGAUGAGUAGGGCGGGACACGUGGUAUCCUGUCUGAAUAUGGGGGGACCAUCCUCCAAGGCUAAAUACUCCUGACUGACCGAUAGUGAACCAGUACCGUGAGGGAAAGGCGAAAAGAACCCCGGCGAGGGGAGUGAAAAAGAACCUGAAACCGUGUACGUACAAGCAGUGGGAGCACGCUUAGGCGUGUGACUGCGUACCUUUUGUAUAAUGGGUCAGCGACUUAUAUUCUGUAGCAAGGUUAACCGAAUAGGGGAGCCGAAGGGAAACCGAGUCUUAACUGGGCGUUAAGUUGCAGGGUAUAGACCCGAAACCCGGUGAUCUAGCCAUGGGCAGGUUGAAGGUUGGGUAACACUAACUGGAGGACCGAACCGACUAAUGUUGAAAAAUUAGCGGAUGACUUGUGGCUGGGGGUGAAAGGCCAAUCAAACCGGGAGAUAGCUGGUUCUCCCCGAAAGCUAUUUAGGUAGCGCCUCGUGAAUUCAUCUCCGGGGGUAGAGCACUGUUUCGGCAAGGGGGUCAUCCCGACUUACCAACCCGAUGCAAACUGCGAAUACCGGAGAAUGUUAUCACGGGAGACACACGGCGGGUGCUAACGUCCGUCGUGAAGAGGGAAACAACCCAGACCGCCAGCUAAGGUCCCAAAGUCAUGGUUAAGUGGGAAACGAUGUGGGAAGGCCCAGACAGCCAGGAUGUUGGCUUAGAAGCAGCCAUCAUUUAAAGAAAGCGUAAUAGCUCACUGGUCGAGUCGGCCUGCGCGGAAGAUGUAACGGGGCUAAACCAUGCACCGAAGCUGCGGCAGCGACGCUUAUGCGUUGUUGGGUAGGGGAGCGUUCUGUAAGCCUGCGAAGGUGUGCUGUGAGGCAUGCUGGAGGUAUCAGAAGUGCGAAUGCUGACAUAAGUAACGAUAAAGCGGGUGAAAAGCCCGCUCGCCGGAAGACCAAGGGUUCCUGUCCAACGUUAAUCGGGGCAGGGUGAGUCGACCCCUAAGGCGAGGCCGAAAGGCGUAGUCGAUGGGAAACAGGUUAAUAUUCCUGUACUUGGUGUUACUGCGAAGGGGGGACGGAGAAGGCUAUGUUGGCCGGGCGACGGUUGUCCCGGUUUAAGCGUGUAGGCUGGUUUUCCAGGCAAAUCCGGAAAAUCAAGGCUGAGGCGUGAUGACGAGGCACUACGGUGCUGAAGCAACAAAUGCCCUGCUUCCAGGAAAAGCCUCUAAGCAUCAGGUAACAUCAAAUCGUACCCCAAACCGACACAGGUGGUCAGGUAGAGAAUACCAAGGCGCUUGAGAGAACUCGGGUGAAGGAACUAGGCAAAAUGGUGCCGUAACUUCGGGAGAAGGCACGCUGAUAUGUAGGUGAAGCGACUUGCUCGUGGAGCUGAAAUCAGUCGAAGAUACCAGCUGGCUGCAACUGUUUAUUAAAAACACAGCACUGUGCAAACACGAAAGUGGACGUAUACGGUGUGACGCCUGCCCGGUGCCGGAAGGUUAAUUGAUGGGGUCAGCGCAAGCGAAGCUCUUGAUCGAAGCCCCGGUAAACGGCGGCCGUAACUAUAACGGUCCUAAGGUAGCGAAAUUCCUUGUCGGGUAAGUUCCGACCUGCACGAAUGGCGUAAUGAUGGCCAGGCUGUCUCCACCCGAGACUCAGUGAAAUUGAACUCGCUGUGAAGAUGCAGUGUACCCGCGGCAAGACGGAAAGACCCCGUGAACCUUUACUAUAGCUUGACACUGAACAUUGAGCCUUGAUGUGUAGGAUAGGUGGGAGGCUUAGAAGUGUGGACGCCAGUCUGCAUGGAGCCGACCUUGAAAUACCACCCUUUAAUGUUUGAUGUUCUAACGUUGACCCGUAAUCCGGGUUGCGGACAGUGUCUGGUGGGUAGUUUGACUGGGGCGGUCUCCUCCUAAAGAGUAACGGAGGAGCACGAAGGUUGGCUAAUCCUGGUCGGACAUCAGGAGGUUAGUGCAAUGGCAUAAGCCAGCUUGACUGCGAGCGUGACGGCGCGAGCAGGUGCGAAAGCAGGUCAUAGUGAUCCGGUGGUUCUGAAUGGAAGGGCCAUCGCUCAACGGAUAAAAGGUACUCCGGGGAUAACAGGCUGAUACCGCCCAAGAGUUCAUAUCGACGGCGGUGUUUGGCACCUCGAUGUCGGCUCAUCACAUCCUGGGGCUGAAGUAGGUCCCAAGGGUAUGGCUGUUCGCCAUUUAAAGUGGUACGCGAGCUGGGUUUAGAACGUCGUGAGACAGUUCGGUCCCUAUCUGCCGUGGGCGCUGGAGAACUGAGGGGGGCUGCUCCUAGUACGAGAGGACCGGAGUGGACGCAUCACUGGUGUUCGGGUUGUCAUGCCAAUGGCACUGCCCGGUAGCUAAAUGCGGAAGAGAUAAGUGCUGAAAGCAUCUAAGCACGAAACUUGCCCCGAGAUGAGUUCUCCCUGACCCUUUAAGGGUCCUGAAGGAACGUUGAAGACGACGACGUUGAUAGGCCGGGUGUGUAAGCGCAGCGAUGCGUUGAGCUAACCGGUACUAAUGAACCGUGAGG